UACGAAGGUGGCAAGCGUUACUCGGAAUGACUAGGCGUAAAGGGCAGGUAGGCGGUUCGGAAAGUCUGCUGUGAAAGCUCCCGGCUUAACUGGGAGAGGCCAGCAGAAACUUCCGGGCUUGAGUAUGGGAGAGGGUACUGGAAUUCCCGGUGUAGCGGUGAAAUGCGCAGAGAUCGGGAGGAACACCAACGGCGAAAGCAAGUACCUGGACCAUUACUGACGCUCAGCUGCGAAAGCUAGGGGAGCAAACAGG
RNAcentral lists this unclassified non-coding RNA (253 nucleotides) under uncultured Elusimicrobia bacterium. RNAcentral describes it as "contains 16S-23S intergenic spacer region". It matches the Rfam family "Bacterial small subunit ribosomal RNA", at positions 524 to 776 of the family's 1533-position model. Lineage: Bacteria; Pseudomonadati; Elusimicrobiota; Elusimicrobia. The record is from RNAcentral.